UUUUUCAUUUCUGUCAGGUUUGAACAACUGCUAUUGCACGCACAUCACAGUGGCGAGCAAGAUGAAUAAUUAAUGAUUCGUUAAGGCAUUAUCAAUCAAAUCUGAAGAAGAAAAAGAACAGCCAAACAUAACUGGAUUUAGUACAUCAAUAGCUAUCCUCUUUUCAAAUAAUAUACGUAUUUAUCAAAACAAUACACUGCAGCAAACUUAUCAGCAACGUACUUACUGCAAUGCACUUUCUUCAAAUAAGCAAUAUUUCCAAGAAAUUUUUACAAAAAGUGCGGCGUCUCCUGGCCAGUUAACAUUCGAAACAUAGAUGUUCGCAUUGUUUUCAUAUGUAUUUCGCCUACAGCUGUGGCCAACAUGGUUACCACUUUUUCAUGUGGAACAGCCACUGCACUUUGACCAUUGAUCUCAAUAAUGCGAUGGCCAACACGUAUACCACCCCUUUCAGCAAUGCCACCCCGAAGCAAACUGCAAAUUACACCAUUUUGCACGCUAAAACCAAGCUGAUAUUUCGUGUCCGGACGUUUGAUACGAACUUCUACAACUGGUGGCGUUUGAACAAUGGUAAUUUUGACGGCUGUCAGUGAACGAGCAUCCUUGAUAUGAUUCUGGCAUAUAUUCAAAGGCAAACCGACAAACGAGAUUCCAUUCAACGCGAUGAUGUGGUCUCCGAUGUUAAUCUUUUUACAUCUAGCUGCUGCACCUUCUGGCAACAUGUUCGCAAUCACCACCGUCGGCAACAUGCUUCCCCAUCCGGACUCAACAACUGCUACACCCAAAGGCUCGUCUUUCCGUUUCGGUAUAACAAUAUCUUUCUGAGUCUCUCUGUUAGAAAACAUUUCCAACUCAUCGCAAUAAAUUUCUUGGGAAUUCAAAACUUGCUGGUAAUCAAGCUCUUUGACAUAAGUCGGAUCGUCAAUUCCUCGAGAACGCAAAAAUUCCAUAUAUGCAACUUGAAAAGCUUGACCAAUCGACUGAGCUAUAAACUGCGCCUCUUCCGAUUCGAACACAUGACAAAUCAUCUUCGGCACUGCCAGAAUACCAUGUGAAGCAGUGAACCAAAAGUCAGGUUAAGGUGCCAGACAUUGGCGCUCAUGAAAUACCAGAAAAGGUGUUGGUCGAUAUAGACAGCAGGACGGUGGCCAUGGAAGUUGGAAUCCGCCAAGGAGUGUGUAACAACUCACCUGCCGAAUCGACUAGCCCUGAAAAUGGAUAGCGUUUGAGCGCCAGGCCCAUACCUGACCGUCUCAAUUACGCACUUUUUUUCGGAAAAGGUGUAAUGAACGUUGAGACGGGUAGGAAGGUCGCGACAGUGUUGCUUUGAAGAGUUUUGAGCGUGAGCUCGCUCGGAGCCGCUGUUGGUGCAGAUCUUGGUGGUAGUAGCAAAUAUUCAAGUGAGAACCUUGAAGGCUGAAGUGGAGCAAGGUUCCAUGUGAACAGCAGUUGGACAUGGGUCAGUCGAUCCUAAGAAAACGGCGAAAGCUUGUUCGAAUUUGCGACAUGAAUUGUAAGACUGUGUGUGUUUAUUGUGUGUGCAGUUGUCGUAUGUUUUCGAAAGGGAAUCCGGUUGAUAUUCCGGAACCGAGUAACGGAGACAAAGAGUAGCGCUUUAAUCUCUCUGUGGGGUUGGCGUUCAACUCAAUCGCGCGGUAACGCAAGCGAACUCGGAAAAUGACCGUCGUGAGUUUCGAAAAGAGUUUUCUUUUCUUUUUAAGGGACGCAUUCCCUGGAACCGGGUUGUCCGGAGAUAGGGAUUCUGGUAUCCAUAAAACGCCGACUUUUUCACGGUGUUCGGAGCGCUCUCGUCGGUACGUGAAAAUCCGAGCGACGCCUGGUAAAUCUCGUACUUGGUCGUACUGAUAUCCGCAGCAGGUCUCCAAGGUGAAUAGCCUCUGGCCGAUAGAAUAAUGUAGGUAAGGGAAGUCGGCAAAACGGAUCCGUAACUUCGGAACAAGGAUUGGCUCUAAGGGCUGGGCCGAUCGGGCUGAGGUUUCAAGCGUGCAGUGUAUGCUUGGCUGAGUUGUGUUGAGGACUUGUUCACUUGCCGCCGUUUGUUCGGUUGGUCUAGUGUAUUCGAGUCUGAAGCAGAGCUGGCCGACAGACCGGCACGUGCAGAACCUGAGCUGCGCGGCUGUCCGUUUACGUGUACAGACCGUUUCGGUCGGCAUUCAACAGCCAACUUAGAACUGGCACGGACACAAGGAAUCUGACUGUAUAAUUAAAACAAAGCAUUGCGAUGGCCGAUGAUCGGUGAUGACGCAAUGUGAUUUCUGCCCAGUGCUCUGAAUGUCAAAGUGAAGAAAUUCAAUCAAGCGCGGGUAAACGGCGGGAGUAACUAUGACUCUCUUAAGGUAGCCAAAUGCCUCGUCAUCUAAUUAGUGACGCGUAUGAAUGGAUCAACAAGAUUCCUUCUGUCCCUAUCUACUAUCUAGCGAAACCACAGCCAAGGGAACGGGCUUGGCAAAAUCAGCGGGGAAAGAAGACCCUGUUGAGCUUGACUCUAGUCUGACUCUGUGAAGAGACAUGAAAGGUGUAGCAUAGGGGGAGAUUGUCAAAUUGCCAUCGUUCGCGCGGUGGUCCGGUGAUCGCCAAUGAAAUACCACUACUUUGAUCGUUUCUUUACUUAUUCGGUAAAGCGAAAAAAUUGUGGCCAAUUUGGCGGUGUUUAUGUCGCUGUUGGUCAUUGUUUUCAUGUUAGAUUGAAGCUUUGUUUACAGCCGUCGCUUUGUGUCGCCAUUUGACGCAUUGUUGUACUGGGUUAUCCGUUGCCCAGUUCUUUCCCAUCUGAUAUUGCCAGACAUCGUGGAAAUACCAACCAAACGGAAUCAGAUCAGACCAAUAAAUUCCAUCUCCUCGAUCUUUCAUCCAAUCUUGAGAGACUCUAAUUUGUAGCAGACCGCCGGUAUAUUUGCGCCACGCAUCAGGUUUCAUGUCUGUCUUGCUCAUGGUACGUGGAUUGAAUGAAAAUACGCCUCUGUUUGGAGAAUUUCUAGCAAUCGAGCCAACCUGUUCAAAGCUGUGACCAAGUACAUCUUCCCAAUAACCCCACAAUGGCGAUAGGUUUGAAGUGAUUCGCUCCGGAAACAGUGUCAGACGGGGAGUUUGACUGGGGCGGUACAUCUGUUAAACGAUAACGCAGGUGUCCUAAGGUAAGCUCAGCGAGGACAGAAACCUCGCUUAGAGUAAACGGGCACAAGCUUACUUGAUUUUGAUUUCCAGUACGAAUAGAA
RNAcentral lists this ribosomal RNA (3236 nucleotides) under Trichinella sp. T8. RNAcentral's name for it is "eukaryotic LSU rRNA". The stretch from base 825 to 3236 matches the Rfam family "Eukaryotic large subunit ribosomal RNA", at positions 1 to 2748 of the family's 3401-position model. The record is from RNAcentral. Lineage: Eukaryota; Metazoa; Nematoda; Enoplea; Trichinellida; Trichinellidae.